Molecule: ribosomal RNA, 256 nt
Filed under: uncultured bacterium
Lineage: Bacteria
Description: partial 16S ribosomal RNA
Rfam family: Bacterial small subunit ribosomal RNA
Source: RNAcentral
CGAAGAUAGUGAUAUGGAGCAAAACCCUAAAAACGACAACCUACAGUUCGGAUUGAAGGCUGAAAUUCGCCUUCAUGAAGCUGGAAUUGCUAGUAAUGGCAGGUCAGCAUACUGCCGUGAAUACGUUCCCGGGGCCUUGUACACACCGCCCGUCACACCAUGAGAGUUGGGAAUACCCGAAGCCUGUGAGCUAACUUAUAGAGGCAGCAGUCGAAGGUAGAGCCAAUGAUUGGGGGUGAAGUCGUAACAAGGUACC